RNAcentral lists this long non-coding RNA (2121 nucleotides) under Solanum tuberosum (potato). Its description in RNAcentral is "long non-coding RNA (STUB_LNC008959)". Lineage: Eukaryota; Viridiplantae; Streptophyta; Magnoliopsida; Solanales; Solanaceae. The record is from RNAcentral.
UCCUGUCCCUCCGUGGUUCAAGUACUGGAAAUCAACUUUUUGAUCAAAAACGAUGGUCAUGUAGGACGGUCCGUCAUUCACUCUACGGGGUGUCGUUUGCCUCCGUGGUUCCACACUUGUUCAGACUUCCUUGAACUCACAUCCACGAGCCAUCACCUACAGCCCGUCACUGGACCUACGGUCCGUGGUUUGGCUCCGUCAACUGCUACUGCUGCCACUUCAAUUCUUUUCUCUCUCAACCACUUUCGAACCAAUUUCCUGCAAAGAUUACAUAAAACCAUUAUAUCUACUAACAAAACAACCCAAGACACACACAAACUCUAAGUGAAAUGCAUCAAAAAUAUCAUAAACUGACGGUAUAUCAACACCCUCAACUUAAACUUGUUGUUUGUCCUCAAGCGACACAUUAAAAACUCUAAACGACACUUCAUGUAGAAGCAAACAUACAAACUCAAACAAUCACAUGGCUUUCUCAAUCAUUUCUAUCACUUGUGCAAAUCUUUUCAUUUAGACUCAACAGGACAGGCUAACUCAUGCGGAUCAAAAUAUGACAUACACAGACAAAUAGAUAUCACCACAUACACUUUCAACAAUCACCUAGGUACCAACUCUCCAACAAUGUAACUAGUGCCCUCACUUCAAAGAAAUCAUUUUUCACACAACAGCUCUGAUUUUUAAGCUUAAGGAUUCAGUUAACACUCACGCUCAGAAGUGAAUUCAAAUACAAUUAGUGCUCAAUAUCAUAGGCUUGCCCUUAUUUUCACUGCACAUACUCUCCAAGCUAGUCACUAAGAUCACUAUAGGACUUUAUUAGCAUGUAACGUAGGCUCAGAGUCAGGUAGGAUACAUUUGGAAACUUUUAGUGACUUUUCUGCCCUCCUUGACAUUACAUUGGCUAUUUACCUCUUUUCUCAACCAAUUCUGGCAUAAUUUUUUAUUUUCUACUUUUCUCCUUGCUUUCUUCAGCACAUAUAUGACUUGACUUUUUCAUUCUUCUUUUUCCACUUUUUCUUUUUCUUUUACUUCUUCUUUCUUUGUUUUUCAGCAUCAUUAUCAUUCUUUUUGUUUCUCUUGAAUUUAGUCACACCUUUUUCUAUCCCUUUUCUUCUUCUAUACACAACUCUUUUCAUACCCUUUUCUUUCAGUUUCCUUUUUCAUAGCCACCCUCAACUUAUGUAUAUUGCAUGAGUUGAGGUGCACAAUAUCCGAGGUCGGACCAGGGCCAAGAUUAAAGUAACUUUUGAAUUAGUCACCCUCAACUUAGGCUUUUGGGCUAAGUUAAGGUGCACAUGUCCAAGGAUGGACCAGGGCUAAAAUAGUCUUUAAGGGAAGGUGAGUUAGUGUAUUGAAUGAUGUGGUAUUCAUUAGGCUCAAACAAUUGGAUCAAAGGGAGCAUUUAUUUCUUUUGGUUGGAUCUUUCUAGGCUUAAGUGGACUUAUUUGAACAAGGGCCUAUGAUCAUUUCCCAAUUUCUAGCCUAGAUUAUCUUAGCAGGACCAAUGAGGCAAGUUCUAGAUUGACACAUACUGCAUGAACAUACAAUUUCCUCACACACACUUGGCACGUUGAUUCAUUAUCGAAUUAUUGAAGCACCUAGUUCAAGUUUUAGCUUAAGCCAUGCUAUUCUACUGGUUCCUAUCAUGUCACAUCCAGAUCCAACACAUUCAACUAAUAAAGCCCAUAGAUCUAGCACAUUUCAAAUUUUUUGGACGGGUAUCAAUUUCAUGCUCUUAUGACAUCAUGCUUUCAUUCUUUCUAUCUACUUCUACACAUACAAUCCUACACAUGCCGGUUCAACAGAAAACUAAAACAGACCCUUGGGGAAAAAGAACACAGGCAAGAAAACCCCAAGGGAGGGUUAUGAGUUAGGUUACUCAAACUUCACCCUAUCACACACAACCUAUUUACCCCACCCCCACGAAAAAAUGGUGCAAUUUCCCUCAAUGCACAAAAAAAGAAAAAUAAAGCAUAGGGUGAAGCAAACCUGUGGCGCAUACGCGUUGAUGACCCAUCAAGAAGCGGGUGGGUCUGAUUUCUCGGAACCCACUGGAUCAGCAAUAGGAACGCCAUUUGUAACACCCUCAUCAACAAUGGGAACAUCCUUAGUAGUGCUCCUCGACCC